AAAAGAGCGAGGCCAAAACAAAGAAGACAGACACGCGCACACAUGGAGUCCGCGUCCUUCCGCUGCGUAACACCACCCUGCUAAUCCAACUACUGUACCCGCAUCAAGGUGGUGGUGAUGGUGAAAGUAGUGAAAGGGCUCGCCCGCCGUUGUCGGCCUCACAGAUGUGGGCAACGUAGGGCAAGCAAAGAGAACCUCUAGGCGUUGGAAGAGAAAUGAUGUGUUCUUUGCGUAUUUUUUGGAGUAAUAGCAGGAGAAGAUAACGUUUGCAUUUUGUUACCCAACUCACAACUGAAGAUAAAUGUUUUCAUUGUCCACUCUAUUGACACUGCCAUCGUGUUGCUGUACGUUUCUGACCCAGCGGUAGUUGAUAUUCAGUGGCACAUAAAUGCUUGAAUGCAAAUGCAAAAUGUGUAACAUAUGCGCAUGUGUCUGCUUUACAUGCAUGUCCCGCUAGCAUUGUUUCUGGGUGUGUGACUUAGCACAAAUUGAACAAAACCCAGGAGCAUGGCAUAACCCCUUUUUUCUAUAUAACGCCGCACGCGCAGGGUUUUCGUGCAGGAAAAAAAACAGUUUUCACGAGUCGGACUUUCAUGGUGAUGCCAGGACGGGCGAAGUUUCCUUUGUGCAGUGGAGCAGCCUAGAUCGUGAUUAUCGUGUUGCUAAACGAGCAGAAUCUUGAAAAUAAUGUUAUGUAUGGUCAGCAAAAUAUGACUUAUUAGCAUAGUGCACACGUUUUUCCUAUUAGAAGGUUCAGUAGCGCUGCUGGCAUGGUCACGUGAGGUAGGAGGAACAUGCUUUUUGAGUGGAAGUUGAAGUUCAUUUAAAAUUUAAACUACUCCAUUUGUAUGCAUGUGUAGAAAAGGGGCCUGACCUGGCUGUCUAUCCCGUUGACACGCAUGCCUUUCCCGUUUCGUAUCCUCCUAUCGCGAGUCAACAAAUUGCAAAUACGGUCCUAAAUAAUAUUUGACAGGUACACACUGGUACGUAGAUGUCAUUGCAACAAAAAUACUAAAAAGGGGAUAAUUCGACUUAUCCCCUUAUUGCAUACGGAGGUUCAAUUGUGUCAGGCCACAGCUUGCAUAUCGAAUGCAAGUGUGGUUGUACAUAACGUUGCUCGUGGCAGCUGAAUGAGUUGAAUGAAUCACACUUGCUUAUACUAGGCUUGCUCAGAGCACUUCCCCUGUUCCUGCAAGCAUUACGCAAUUUUUUUAGUCCCCCCAGCCAAGAGGAAAAAAAAAAAAACACCAGGUUUUAUAACAAUGUUACGGGUUACUGCUGCAGCAUAAAAAUACCAAAAGCUUUGGUGUGAAAUAGGACAAAUGAAAAAAAAAAGAAAAUUCUUAAGAUUUUAGAAUUUGUUGUGAUUUUUUGUGUACAAACUCUCCAUCCAACAUGCAUCACAUCUCAUUCCCCUCCCUACUCCAGAUCUGCCAUGCACGCGUCCAAGACCGAAGCCACGAACGCCAGCGGCGGAGACUCCAAGAGUAUGUCUUCGUUUCUUCCCUUUUAUAACCCAUUCUCCCCCCACUCUAGCGCACAAAGGGCUACUGCCACAUUCCGCGAAACGGGGGAAUGUGGUCUUCCAUUCGAUGUGGCCGGCAAAGGCCCCCGUUUUAACAAGGUGUGUGUGACCGAAAGUGUGAGCUCGAAGGUCGCAAAAAAAGAGAAAAACAGAAAUCUCUGGUCCCUUUUUGUUUAGUGUGUGUCUUCCUCUCUUUUUUCCGUUGUGCCUCGCUUGUCGGCAUUCUGACGAUGCUCCGCCCACAACAGUGUGCCGCCGUGCCACCCUUAGCAAAUGGAGCAUGGGUUCUAGUAAGCUAACGAGUCAGGUGGGACGGCAGACGCCAAGACCAAGGCGGACUCGGCUACGACGGAGUUGGAGAAGUACUGGCAGGUGGUGAGGAGCAACCCAGCCGAUUUUACGGGAUGGACGUACCUGCUGCAGUUUGUGGAACAGGAGGAUUCAGGAAACGUUUGAGGAGUACAACAAGAUGUUCAAGGUUCAAGCAACGGCCAAGAAACGUGCGGCAGAAGACGACGCGGCAGGUGGAGAGAAGAAAGUCAAGUCUGAGAUGAAUGGCGGCGACGCAACAGCUGCAACCGCAGUGGCGACUACUGCAGCUGCUCCCACUGCGACGACCGACCCUUCCGCGCAGUACAAUUAUGCGCAGUAGUGGGGAAGCUAUCCACAGGCUUACGGCUACCAGCAGCAGUGGAACACAUAUCCAGCAACGUCGUACUACCCAACGCACUGAUCCCAGUCAACACAUCCGAGAAUGAGGUUUCCGUAAAACCACUGCCUGGUGCUCCAGCCAGCGCGCGGGCAAUUCACUUCACUCAUUUUUCUUCCGGUUUUCUCUACUCCCACAUUGUUUGCUCAUUUGAUGGUCGUGGAUGGGAUCGCCCCUGAAGGGAGGGGUUCAAGGCCACCGAAGAAGGCAGGGACCUCCACUGGGCAUUGUAAAUAGCAGUUCCUCUGCUGGGACUUUAGUUUCCUUUUUAGCGCUGUGUCGCAUAUGUGUAUAAAUUGAGUAAAUAAAACUGUUUGUGUCACUA
Ornithodoros turicata is the source of this 2559-nucleotide RNA transcript. RefSeq lists it as uncharacterized. The transcript is spliced from 5 exons. Lineage: Eukaryota; Metazoa; Arthropoda; Arachnida; Ixodida; Argasidae. The record is from RefSeq and is a predicted model, not a curated record.